Molecule: microRNA precursor, 104 nt
Filed under: Mus spretus (western wild mouse)
Lineage: Eukaryota; Metazoa; Chordata; Mammalia; Rodentia; Muridae
Description: microRNA 6385 (ENSMSPG00010029102.1)
Source: RNAcentral
CCAGGGCAAGGAUGACAGAGAGGAAGACAGGGGCUUCCAGGACAAGGAGUCGCAACUCUCUGUAACCUGGAUUCUGCAGGUCUCCUCAUGUGUCUGGGCCCUGU